AGAAAGAAUUAGAUUCAUCUGUUCAUUGCUAUUCUGAACACAGGACAGAGCACUGCAUAUUUUUGUGUGAGAGAAUUAAUCAGCGACGUUUGUCCUUAACAAGACUUAAUUAAGUAGCCUUUCGAUGGAUAUAUCACCAUUCUUCAAAGACCACAUGGAGUCGUUAACGGCAAACAAACAAACAGCCUUUUUCAAGGCUUCCAGCCUAUUUACAGGCAUCCCACCAGCCUUUUCCCCUUUCCCCUUUUUCUCGGGACUCCUCCCAACGGAUACAAGGUGAACAUGGCACUUUCUCGUGCCCGGGAUGAAGUGCACUACCUGAAAAGGAAGGUGAGCGAACUCAGUGCUCACACUGAAACUGGGAGGUACAGUUUGACCAACCUGUUUAAAGGCAAAGAUCUUGCCUAUGAGCAGACAAGAACAGAAAGAAGUUUUCAGACCACAUCAGGGAGAACAAGGGUUUGUCUCUGAAGCUCCACAGAGACCACCGAACAACUCGUUGUCCAAAAUGCUGAACCCACGGUCCAGCAGCAGGCCAACAACCAACGGUUGAAAGCAGAACACAAACUGCUAAAGAGCAAGACAGAGGCUCUGGCUGAGGUUAUCGGGGAAAAGAAGAGUUUGUUUCUGAAGCUCUUUGAGUACGGCGAACAACUCUUCGUCAAAAGUGCUGAACUCACGGUCAACAAAGGGACCUGGCAGCAGAAGUUGGAGGAAAAGACAUUCAAGGAACAGUCUUUGGAGUAAGUAACAGGGUUACUCUCCACCAACAUUUCUCUUCAAGAGGAGCUGCACAAGCAGCAGGCCAACAACCAGCAGUUGGUAGAAGAACACAAACUGCUAAAGAUCAAGACAGAGGCUCUGGAUGAGACUAUCAGGGAGAACGAAGGUUUAUCUCUGAAGCUCACCGAGACCACAAAACAACUUUCUGUCAAAAGUGCUGAACUCAGGGUCAACAACGAGACGUGGCAGCAGUUGGAAGCAGAAAACAAACUGCUGAAGACCCAGAGGGAUUCUCUGGCUGCUUUAAAAAAGAGCCAAGAGGAAACCCACCACGAGAUGGUCACUAGCACUGAGUUGUGCCUGAUCUCUAAGAUCCAACAAACGGAGGAUACCAUUCCCAAAGAACAUCAGAUCCUUAUCACCAGGAUCCAAGAAUUAGAGGACGACAAAACAGUCCUUGAAAACAUCUGCCUCGACUUAAAAAAACGGACCGGCAGACGGAGAUGGACAAAAUGAGGCAUAAGCUGCAGGACAAGGAGAUAAAGAAAUAGGAGAGAGAAGAAAAAGCAGACCAUCCAGGACGUCAACAUCAACGUGCCUGAGACUGGACACCUGUAAGAACACCUUCCUUCACCUCCCACUCCAUCCUACCUCAUCCAUCUACCCUGAAAAAAAAAAAAAAAAGAGAUCUGAAAAAAAGAGAUCUAAAAAAGAAAGAUCUAAAGAAAAAAAAGAUCCCAGAGGGAUUCUCUGGCUGCUUAUUUUUUUUACAACCUAAUCAGAGGUUACCCACCACGAGAUGGUCACAAGCAGUGGUUUCACUGCGUUGUGCCUGAUCGCUAAGAUCCAACAAACGGAGGAUACCAUCCCCAAAGAACAACAGAUCCUUAUCAGCAGGAUCCAAGAAUUAGAGGACAACAAAACAGUCCUUGAAAACAUCUGCCAGUACUUAAAAAAAAAAAAAAAGACCGGCAGACAAAGAUGGACAAAAUGAGGCAUAAGCUGCAGGACAAGGAGAUAAAGAAAUAGGAGAGAGAAGAAAAAGCAGACGAUCCAGGACGUCAACAUCAACGUGCCUGAGACUGGACACCUGUAAGAACACCUUCCUUCACCUCCCACUCAAUCCUACCUCAUCCAUCUACCCUGAAAAAAACUAAAAAAAGAUCCAAAAAAAAAAAAGAGAUCUGAAAAAAAAGAGAUCUAAAUAAGAAAGAUCUAAAAAAAAAAAAUAAAAAAAAAAUACCAUCCCCAAAGAACAACAGAUCCUUAUCACCAGGAUCCAAGAAUUAGAGGACAACAAAACGGUCCUUGAAAACAUCUGCCUGUACUUAAAAAAAAAAAAAAAAGACCGGCAGACAGAGAUGGACAAAAAUGAGGCAUAAGCUGCAGGACAAGGAGAUAAAGAAAUAGGAGAGAGAAGAAAAAGCAGACCAUCCAGGACGUCAACAUCAACGUGCCUGAGGCUGGACACCUGUAAGAACACCUUCCUUCACCUCCCACUCCAUCCUACCUCAUCCAUCUACCCUGAAAAAAACUAAAAAAAGAUCUAAAAAAAAAAAAAGAGAUCUGAAAAAAAGAGAUCUAAAAAAGAAAGAUCUAAAAAAAAAAAAAGAUCCCAGAGGGAUUCUCUGGCUGCUUAUUUUUUUUACAACCUAAUCAGAGGUUACCCACCACGAGAUGGUCACAAGCAGUGGUUUCACUGCGUUGUGCCUGAUCGCUAAGAUCCAACAAACGGAGGAUACCAUCCCCAAAGAACAACAGAUCCUUAUCAGCAGGAUCCAAGAAUUAGAGGACAACAAAACAGUCCUUAAAAACAUCUGCCUGUGCUUAAAAAAAAAAAAAAGGCCGGCAGACGGAGAUGGACAAAAUGAGGCAUAAGAUGCAGGACAAGGAGAUAAAGAAAUAGGAGAGAGAAGAAAAAGCAGACCAUCCAGGACGUCAACAUCAACGUGCCUGAGACUGGACACCUAUAAGAACACCUUCCUUCACCUCCCACUCCAUCCUACCUCAUCCAUCUACCCUGAAAAAAACUAAAAAAAGAUCUAAAAAAAAAAAAAAGAGAUCUGAAAAAAAAGAGAUCUAAAAAAGAAAGAUCUAAAAAGAAAAAAAGAUCCCAGAGGGAUUCUCUGGCUGCUUAUUUUUUUUACAACCUGCUCAGUCUUGCACAUUUCCCAUACCUCAUUUCUGCCUUAUUUUUAUUUCAUGUACAUUUAUUUAAAUAUUGUUUUGUUAUUUUUUAUUUUGUAAUUGGUUGGCUUUAAUUAACUGUACUGUUAAUUUAUAUUGCACACAUUUCAUUUCAUUUUUUUUUUUACAACCUGCUCGGUUUUGCACAUUUCCGCUUACCUCAUUUGUGCCUUCUUUUUAUUUCAUGUACAUUUAAGUAAAUAUUGUAUUUUUAUUUUUGUUUUUAUUUUAAAAUUGGUCGGCUUUAUAGAAAAGGCGAGCACCACGAGCUGGUCACAAGCAGUGGUUUCACUGAGUUGUGCCUGAUCUCUAAGAUCCAACAAAUGGAGGAUACCAUCCCCAGGGACCUCCCACUCCAUCCUACCUCAUCCUUCUCAAAUAACAAUAAAGGAAAUGUUUACCCCAAUCUGCUGUCUACUGGUUAUCACUAGAUUGUACUUACAGACCAACUUAUUUUACUGUUUACUACAGUGAUUCACUUAUUUUCACUUAUUACACAUGUAGACAUUAGUAAUUGAAAUAUAUUAACUUGGCUGUUGUUGUUGUUCCUGUUUAUGUUGCUGCUGCUUUUCCAUGAUGUUGAGUACAAUCUUCUCAAUAGAAGCUUGUGUCAGCAUCUGAACAGGUGGAGGUGGGUGAACAAUUGCAACAGACAUCGUAACAACUGGCACACUAGUGGUCUCACUCACCUCUGUCAGAGAGUUUCUGCCUCUCUUGCAGUUUUUCUGGACUGACGUUUAAAGAGGAACUGGUGUUCAACAAUUUGCUGAGGUGCUUUACAUAUUGUAGAACAUGUAGUUUUGUUGUUGGGUGGAGCAUGCUGUUGGGGUCUGUACAGGAGUUGUGAACUAGAGCAGCGUAGUCCUGGUCCACAAGCUUCAGUGUGUCUUUCUGCUCAUGGGUUUUGUUGAGCAGCUGGUUGAUAACUGCCAGCGACGGCGGACGUAGAGUUUCUACAGGAACAAAAGACGGAGUAUAAUAAGUCAUUCUGACCUAUAGAAUCAAAUACUUGUAUAAUAAAUAUAAACUUUCAUUAAAAUCUCAUGAAAGACUGGUAUUUGUAUGUGAAUGUUUAUUCAAUAACACCCUUAAUACAUUUUCACAUCUUGUAAAAAAAUCGAAAAGUGACACAAAGGUAUGGAGCAAACUGGAACAACCUUGAUGGUGCCAGUGAGGAUGACAGAGGAACCUCCGACUAGGUAGCGAGUGGAUCACUUUGAGGAGGUGGAUUCGGGGCCUGGGUGUGAUCUGUCUUGCUGUUCUGCUUGUCCCAGUCCAGAGGAACUGAGCAAAGGAACUGUACAGGGCGUGAUGCUCCGACACACACUCACGGAGGAACCGCCUCAUGCAGUGAAACAAGUCCAGC
Long non-coding RNA from Gasterosteus aculeatus aculeatus (three-spined stickleback), 4276 nucleotides. NCBI's taxonomy places the organism in Eukaryota, Metazoa, Chordata, Actinopteri, Perciformes, Gasterosteidae. The record is from Ensembl.